GUGAUGUAGAAAGCCAUCAACCAUAAUUGACAAACAGAUAAAUUCAUGCAAUUUCCAUAAACUGGUGCAGAUAACACCUCCAUUGGACAAGAAAGUGCUCAAGUACACGCUCUUACAGCUUAUGAGUAUAAAAUCCUAUAAGAUGGCAGCCAAAUCCCAGGCCUCUAAGUAAUGUAUAUCCAUAUCAUCAUGACAGUGCAGGUACAGAG
Molecule: unclassified non-coding RNA, 209 nt
Filed under: Hevea brasiliensis (rubber tree)
Lineage: Eukaryota; Viridiplantae; Streptophyta; Magnoliopsida; Malpighiales; Euphorbiaceae
Source: RNAcentral